AUACGUAGGUUGCAAGCGUUGUCCGGAUUUACUGGGUGUAAAGGGCGCGUAGGCGGGAAUGCAAGUCAGAUGUGAAAUCUCCGGGCUUAACCCGGAAACUGCAUUUGAAACUGCAUUUCUUGAGUGUCGGAGAGGUAGAUGGAAUUCCUAGUGUAGCGGUGAAAUGCGUAGAUAUUAGGAGGAACACCAGUGGCGAAGGCGACUUACUGGACUGUAACUGACGCUGAGUCACGAAAGCGUGGGUAGC
This 247-nucleotide ribosomal RNA is filed under the name uncultured bacterium. RNAcentral's name for it is "partial 16S ribosomal RNA". It matches the Rfam family "Bacterial small subunit ribosomal RNA", at positions 523 to 769 of the family's 1533-position model. The record is from RNAcentral.